UCAUCUUCGGGGGUAGAGCACUGUUUCGGCUAGGGGGUCAUCCCGACUUACCAACCCGAUGCAAACUACGAAUACCGAAGAAUGUUAUCACGGGAGACACACGGCGGGGGCUAACGUCCGUCGUGAAGAGGGAAACAACCCAGACCGCCAGCUAAGGUCCCAAAGUCAUGGUUAAGUGGGAAACGAUGUGGGAAGGCACAGACAGCCAGGAUGUUGGCUUAGAAGCAGCCAUCAUUUAAAGAAAGCGUAAUAGCUCACUGGUCGAGUCGGCCUGCGCGGAAGAUGUAACGGGGCUAAACCAUGCACCGAAGCUGCGGCAGCGACACUAUGUGUUGUUGGGUAGGGGAGCGUUCUGUAAGCCUGCGAAGGUGUGCUGUGAGGCAUGCUGGAGGUAUCAGAAGUGCGAAUGCUGACAUAAGUAACGAUAAAGCGGGUGAAAAGCCCGCUCGCCGGAAGACCAAGGGUUCCUGUCCAACGUUAAUCGGGGCAGGGUGAGUCGACCCCUAAG
This 508-nucleotide ribosomal RNA is filed under the name Klebsiella pneumoniae. Its description in RNAcentral is "partial 23S ribosomal RNA". It matches the Rfam family "Bacterial large subunit ribosomal RNA", at positions 890 to 1395 of the family's 2925-position model. Lineage: Bacteria; Pseudomonadati; Pseudomonadota; Gammaproteobacteria; Enterobacterales; Enterobacteriaceae. The record is from RNAcentral.